GUGACCUAACCAUAGCCAAUAAAGCAAAACAAAACGUCAGUGCUAUUUAGCUGUCAAGUCAACUUAGUCAACUGUCAGCCAUAUUGCUUUGCUUGUCAUGGCGCCUUGCAUGUAUUACUCGCGUAUUUCUUGGAGUUUAAUUUUCAAAAUCCUUUACCAUUUUUAAAUACAAUCAAAUGUGAUAAAAACAUAUAGUGACUUCAUAGAUUUUGUGUAAAUGCCACCGAAAAUCAGAGCCUUUAAAUGCGAAAUAUGUGGCAAUCUCUACACUCGCGAUGUUCCCGAAAAAAGGAAAUUCAUGGCGAAAUUCCCGUUGGAUGAAGACCGGUGCAAGCAGUGGGUCAAAAUAAUUUUGAACGAAGACCUGGUAUAUCUUCCCAUAGAAAAGUUACAUGAAUUAAAAUUUGUAUGCGCAGACCAUUUCGAAAAAAAGCUUUUAAUAAAAAAAACAAUCAACUUAAAACGUCUGCCAUCUGCCAUACCUUCAAAAAAUUUAAAAGCUGAUCCACUUCCUGAUGAAAUGCUGCUUAAUUUUCCUUGUCAUGUUUAUUCGAAAAGGAACAUUCCUACGAAUCUCGACCCUCUGGCGAUCGGUGACAAUGAAGUUUAUUCACUACCCCAAGUAGAAGCCAUCGCUGGGCCUAGUAACUCGGAAUCGUUCAUGUCUGGACAGCAGCUGCCAUCUCAAACCAUACCAUUAAAAAAGCUUGAAGCUAUUCCAAUCGCUGAUGAAACUCUGCUGAAUUUUUCCAAUAAUGCUUAUUCAACAUUGUUGAUAAAAGGAAUGACAAUGAAGUUUCACUACCUCAAGUAGAAGCUAUCGCUGGGCCUAGUAACUCGGAUUCAUUCAUGCCUGGACAGCAGCUGCCAUCUCAAGCCAUGACAUUACAAAAGCUUGAAGCUAUUCCAAUCACUGAUGAAACUUAGCUGAAUUUUUCCAAUAAUGCUUAUGACAAUGAAGUUUCACUACCUCAAGUAGAAGCUAUCGCUGGGCCU
Molecule: long non-coding RNA, 996 nt
Organism: Cydia splendana
Lineage: Eukaryota; Metazoa; Arthropoda; Insecta; Lepidoptera; Tortricidae
Exons: 4
Source: RefSeq, a predicted model, not a curated record